Molecule: long non-coding RNA, 3965 nt
Organism: Rattus norvegicus (Norway rat)
Lineage: Eukaryota; Metazoa; Chordata; Mammalia; Rodentia; Muridae
Source: RefSeq, a predicted model, not a curated record
GAGAUUAAAGUGUUUAUUUUCGGCAACACACUAUUGCCGUGGCACCUGGGAGCGUCAAGUAAGCCAUUUCAGAAGAAAGUGAGGUGCAGGACUGAACUAAGUGGCUGAUCCAAGGAAUGUCCUAUGUUGAAAAGCUGGGCAAAUCAGAAGAAAGAACUCCCCUACUUAAAGGUCCCUCAGGAUGUUUGCCUGUGAAGAAAAUCAGCUCAGAGACCCUGGAAGCUCUCCUGUGACAGUAUGUCCUAAAGCCCAACCCAUCCACCUGUUUACAUGUCUGUGCUUCUGAGAACCUAGAUGCAGCUACAUAGGCACUGCUACCAGAGAAGAGGUGAGGUAGCCGGGUGGUGAGGAAGAGAUCUCUCCUUUCACACCUGCUUACGAUGAUGACAUUUGGACCUCUAUGGGCAUCUCCAUUCCAUUCCUCAGCAGGCUAUGCCACAGAGCUCUGUUCAACACCAGGAGACUCAAUGCAGGAAGAGUACCAGAGCGUCCGCUGAGAGUCAGGUAAGCAUGAAAACCUUCACAGCUUACUGCACAAUGAAAUGUCAUCCACAGGACUUCUGAUCUUGGUACGAGAAUCUUGUCCAGGACUCACAGGGGCUCAUGGUGCCCACAUUCAACCCUAACAUGGUGUUCACUUAUGAAGCAUGGAGGUUGUGGAUCAACUCUUGGUACACAAUAAACUGGAAGUUUAAAAAAAGGAAUUUAAAACAACCUAAAAGUGGUUCAUGUUGGUCUCCGUUGCCCAGACUGCCAGGGGAGUACACCUAAUUGAUCUGGUGGGCUGUGGGGGGUUGGGGAAGAAGCCUCCAUGGAUCACCGUCAAUUCCAGUAGUCAGUGUGUGGCCAACAUAUGUGGGAAAUCGCCAGACAACAGUCUUCUGAACCCACACAGCCAUUCUCACUGGUUAUUGGGGAGCCCUGAUCCAACAGAACCCCAGAUUGAGGGAAAGGCUGAUAUAAGGCUUGGGCCCCUCAUGUUCUGUUGCAUUCAAUGUAUCCCCACACCCUCCAGUCAGCAGGAGGCAGACUUGGCAACGGAAGCUAGCAUCAUAAAAUGGUGCAGUAAUAGAAGUAACUGGACCAGGAAGAGGAGGCAUCUGCUCCAAUGAUGUCAUAGCCAUUGGUGGCCACAGGGGGGUGGGACUGGUCAUGUAGCCUUGUGUCAGGAGUAAUGAUUGUAGAGGGGCGGGGCAUGAAGAGUGCCAUUCUGGAAACAGUGCUGUCGAGAAGCAAUAUACUCUGCAUAACUGAUUGUCACCUUCUCACUUCGAUACCUGUACGAGGAAACAGACAAAGGUAUUAGGAACCCCAAAUACCUCAAUGUGAAGGAAGAGUCACUCAGUAGAGAAAACCAAAAGCUUAUCCCACAGUCUCAAAGAAUAAAAUGGAAGACCAAGAGCAAUCUUACUUACAGAAAAUGAAAGACGGCACAAGAAAUGAUGCUGUUCUUACAAAUGAACAAGAUGAGAAAGCACAUCACAGUUCACCCCUGAGAAUGUAUCUCAGCACACCCCACCUCAAAAUGCUACAUAUGCUUAUCAACAGGCUGCUGGUAAGCAAUCUGCUACCAGGAUCUGCAUGAGGGAUUUCAGAGUCAAAUUACAAGGGUGGCAGAUUGGAAGAUGGCUGCACCAAACCCCAGUGUAAACUGCAUUAGCUAUGCUCAGGUUUAAAAUGAGAUAAAUUUGACAGAAAUGCAACCUCAACUUGUAGAAGAGCAACAAACAGGUUAUAACUAAAAGGGGCAUAGAUACCUAAUUCUGGGUCAAAUUCUGGUGAAGCAGGUUAAUGGAUCCUUGGCUAUAGGAAGGUCUCACUCCCCAGAUGAAUAUGCCAUAUCACGGGGUCAUCAGAACAGAAUUCAUAGCACUUUGGCUUUGCUCUGGAAAGAGCCAUGAGUCAGGAUGCAAAGCAUGGGUGUUACAAACCUAUGGAGCCUACUACAGACCACAGGAGCUGGGUGACAAUCCUUACCCAGAGCCAUCUCUUUCCCACUGUAAUCACUCCUCCACUGCAAGGUGAUUAUUCCUGAAUUUUGACAGGGAAAUGGCUGUUCAAAUAAAUUGUAAUAGUAAUAAUGCUUUGUAUUUGCAGUGUUUUUAUUAUUAUUACUAUUAUUAUAUUUUGGUGCUGGAGGUGGAACCCAGGGCCUUGAGCGUAUAUACUAUGUAUUAAGUUCUACCAAUGAGUGGAAGUCCCAGCCCCUUGACUUUUUGGAAUUUAAUGCAUUCAAAAACACUGGGUUAUCUUCCAAACAGACCUGUGAGGCUGGCAUACGGUGACUCAGCAUUUUGUAGACGAGGGUCAUAGCAAAGGCCCACCAAAGCUAACUUCUCUCUCUGUCCCCAACAUCAGCACAAAAGAACACUGACAUCCACUGAACACCUCCAGUGUUGCCCUUGGCUGAAAACACUAUACCUUACCUUAAAAACUGAAGGAAUUACAACUCACAUCUUACAGACAGAAAACAGUUCAGGGUGGUGAACUAACUGUCCCCAGGACAAAUAGCUAAUAAGAACUAAGCCUGGGCUACAGACCCCCAAGUUAGUAUAUGUUCCGUACGACUAGUCAGCUUGCCCUGAGUACUACCCCCAAACCGGAUCCUUCCCACUCCUCGUUAAUAUGGCUCUCCUUUAUUCUCUGCCAUGGACUGCAUGGUGACCAGGAAGAAGCACCUUUCCGUGACCCUGGAUUUACAUUCCCGGAGCCCUCACCUUUUAAAUGCAACCUCCCCCUAAAUCUCCUCGGCAGAUCUACUCUGCUUCAAUCCUGUUAGACUGGCUAUGGAAACAGGGUGUCUCCACGUCUGCGGCCCCUGCUUCCUCAGACUCAGACCUCACACAAACUCCUCUGGCUUAGGGGUAGAAACACUUUUCUUUUCCUUCCCACCACAGGACCCUGUACUCAACCCCCAUUUAAGAAAACCUAACAAGGAGACUAGGGCAGCUGCUUACCUUGUGAGUUUGAUUGAUUUUCUGAAUUCACUGGUAAUUGGAGCCUUAAAACCACCUUUCCUGAGCAAGGAGUCUAUUGUCUGGAUCUGAUCCCAGUCUGAGGAAAACAAGCCACAAUAUGGUCAGCACACAGUCAAAACAUGAGAAGAACAUGCUCCAAUAUGACCAGUGUAGGAAGACAAAUGGGAUUCAAGAAACAGAGUGUGCUGGGGAAAAGGAAGCACUGGGCCCUGGUCCCACACACUGGACACCAAUCAGCCUUACUAACAGUCCAGCAAAGACCCUGACACAUGACAUCAUAACUCAAUGUGCCAUGAUGCUAUCCCCAAGUCCCCCACUCUUUCUUACCAGGCACUACCCAAGUAAAAUUCUGAAGCUCAUGUUGCACCCAUGGCUGCUCUAUAGAAAGGCAGAGUAGAAAGGCAGGCAGGGUCUCACUAUUGCCUAGAUGUUAUCAGAUUUUAUUUUACUUUUUAUUUCUGGGUAUGUGUGUUGCAGGUGGUAUGUACACACGAGAACAAAAGAUGAUGUAGGAUCCUCUGAACCUGGAACUACAGGUGGAAUCUGGCAGGAACUAAGAAGAGGAAGGGCAUCAGUACUUGGUGGCACUGAGCUGAGGACUUCUCUCUCCUGCCCUUUAACUGGCAUGGCUCUGAGCAGCACAGCUCAGUGGCCAUCUGUCCGACUCACCUUGUUCCUUAGCAACCUCAGGUAAAUAUGUGGCUGUGCGUUUGAUGCCUUUUUCAUUGAUGAAUUCAAUCCGAAUCCCAUGGACCCCUACCUACAGAAAAAUAUGACCAAGUACAUGGCGUUUUCUGAUUCUAACAACAUUUCCAUCACUCAUACAUAAUCAACAUUGUCUCCUGAACUGCCUAGCACAGGUCUGGGAAAGGAAGAAUGUUGUCUGCAUGACUGACUCUAAAGCACAGAAACCAAAGGGACGGUCAAAUACAUACAUGUGCAGUUGCACCUCUGAGACUAUGAAGACUGAAGGAAUAAAUCCCUGAA